This 85-nucleotide transfer RNA is filed under the name Felis catus (domestic cat). It matches the Rfam family "tRNA". From Rfam's summary of the family: Transfer RNA (tRNA) molecules are approximately 80 nucleotides in length. Their secondary structure includes four short double-helical elements and three loops (D, anti-codon, and T loops). RNAcentral also lists the same sequence under 2 other names. Lineage: Eukaryota; Metazoa; Chordata; Mammalia; Carnivora; Felidae. The record is from Rfam by way of RNAcentral.
GCCUGGGUGGCUCAGUCGGUUGAGCGUCCGACUUCAGCUCAGGUCAUGAUCUCGUGGUUUGUGGGUUCGAGCCCCGCAUCGGGCU